This 253-nucleotide ribosomal RNA is filed under the name uncultured bacterium. RNAcentral's name for it is "partial 16S ribosomal RNA". It matches the Rfam family "Bacterial small subunit ribosomal RNA", at positions 524 to 776 of the family's 1533-position model. The record is from RNAcentral.
UACCGAGGUCCCAAGCGUUGUUCGGAUUCACUGGGCGUAAAGGGUGCGUAGGUGGUUGGGUAAGUCUGAUGUGAAAUCUCCGGGCUCAACCCGGAAAUGGCAUUGGAUACUAUUCGGCUAGAGGUUUGGAGGGGGGACUGGAAUUCUCGGUGUAGCAGUGAAAUGCGUAGAUAUCGAGAGGAACACCAGUGGCGAAGGCGAGUCCCUGGACAACACCUGACACUGAGGCACGAAAGCUAGGGGAGCAAACAGG